CCAAAAUAGAGUUAAUUUCUUGAUAUUAGAUGAUUAUUUCUCAUUACAAGAUGAACAUAUAUAUAGGGAAAGAAAGAAGACAUAGGACCUAACUUUGCCUAACUUGCCUAACUUGCCUAACUUACCUAACUUGCCUAAUUUACAUAAAGAAAGUUGACUAGCCUAACUUCACUAGCCAUCUAAUACUCAUGGCUGCUUUUAGUUGACACUCCCCCUCAAGUUGGUGCGUAAAUAUCUCGAAUGCCCAACUUGCUGAGUGAAAGAUGGAAAAUCCUACUUGACACUGCCUUUGUUAAAAUAUCUGCUAUCUGGUCAUCACUCUUCACAUAAGGCAAGUUAAUGGUACCAUCAACCAACCUUUCCUUGAUAAAGUGCCUAUCCACUUCAACAUGUUUAGUACGAUCAUGUUGAACUGGAUUAUGAGCAAUGCUAAUGGCAGCUUUGUUAUCACAAUAAAGUUUUGAUGGCUUUGCAGAAUUAAAACCUAAUUCUCUCAACAAAGUCCUGAGCCAUAACAAUUCUUGCACACCAUGUGCCAUACCUCUAAAUUCAGCUUCGGCACUGGAUCUAGCCACUACAUGUUGCUUCUUACUGCGCCAAGUAACUAGAUUUCCUCCAACAAAUGUAAAGUAUCCAGAAGUCGAUCUGCGAUCAGUUACUGACCCAGCCCAAUCUGCAUCAGUGUACCCUUCAACUUCUUGAUGUCCAUGAUUGGAAAACAUCAAGCCUUUUCCAGGGGCAGACUUCAAAUACCUGAGAAUGCGUUGUACAGCAUCCAUGUGGGCUUCACUUGGCCUGUGCAUAAAUUGACUCACUACACUUACAGCAUAGGCUAUGUCAGAUCGUGUAUGAGACAAAUAAAUCAACCUCCCAACUAAUCUUUGGUACCUUUCCUUGUUAGCCGGAACUUGAUCAUGAUAGUCUCCCAAUCUAUGGUUUUGCUCAAUUGGUGUGUCUGCAGGUUUACAAGCUAACAUCCCAGUCUCAGUUAAUAAGUCUAUAACAUAUUUCUUUUGAGAAAGAAAAAUGCCAUGCUUUGAUCUUGCAACUUCAAUACCCAAGAAAUAUUUCAGAGUACCCAAGUCCUUCAUUUCAAAUUCCUUGGCUAGAUACUUUUUGAAGUUUUUGAAUUUCCUCGACAUCAUUACCUGUAACCACCAUAUCAUCCACAUAAACAAUUAAGGCUGUAAGUUUACCUCUAUCAUGCUUAAGAAAUAAGGUAUGGUCAGCUUGAGUUUGCUUGAACCCAUAACUUCUCAUUGAUUGAGCGAACCUGCCAAACCAUGCCCUUGGUGAUUGUUUCAAUCCAUACAAGGACUUUCUUAACCUGCAUACUUUGCCAAUAUCGCAAGUGGUAGUGAAUCCUGGAGGAAGAUCCAUGUAUACCUCUUCAUCCAAGUCUCCAUGUAAAAAUGCAUUUUUUACAUCAAACUGUCGUAGAGGCCACCCUAGAUUUGCUGCCAAUGACAUAAGAACCCUGAUAGUGUUGAUCUUUGCUACCGGAGCAAAUGUCUCCUGAUAAUCAAUGCCAUAGGUUUGAGUAUAACCUUUGGCUACCAGUCUAGCCUUGUACCUCUCCACUGAACCAUCAGCUUUAUGCUUCACUGUGAACACCCAUCUACACCCAACAGGUUUCUUGCCUUCAGGAAGUGCAACCAGUUCCCAAGUGGAGUUUUUUCGAAGCGCUUCCAUCUCUUCAAUCAUAGCCUUUUUCCAUUUUGGAUCUUUAAGAGCAUCCUGUAACUUAUUAGGAACUGAGACUGAUGACAAUUGGUUUGCAAAAGAUAUAUAAGAGUCUGACAAGCGAUGAGAUGAAACAAAAUUAGAUAUAGGAUAUUGAAUACCCUUUGUAGAAGACUGACCAUGACGAACAUGGGGUAUCCCUCGAUUUUCUCGAAUAGGAUAACGAGAACCCUGAGACUCACGAUGUGGUUCAUUUGAAUCAUUUGGAUCAUCACUUAAUGAAAUCUCAUGAUUGGACUCAUCAAAUAUAGUAGGCUGAAGAGAGGGAGAAUGAGUGGUUACCUCAGGAUAAUUCGUACGAGUAGCAGCUGAUUGGUCAGAGAGUUGGUCUAUGUGGGGAGGGUGGUCUAUCUCAUCAUCCCUUUUUUCUUUAUCUCCCUUUUUUCUUGUCCUCUCAUACACCUUCAAUAUUUUUUCACCUUGUGCCUCAUCAUUAGGCAAAUUUGCACCAUCACCGACAUCAGACAAGUGUUCAUCACCAAUGUCAAGCGGCAACUUCUCUUCCUCCUUACUCCAUAUCUCCCCCUGAAGAGAAGUGGCCAAAUCUUCUUUUGAAAAAAAUGCCUCGUGUUCCCGAAAGGUAACAUCCAUAGAGACAAAAAAUUUCCCAGUUGGAGGAUAGUAACAUCGAUACCCUUUCUAAGUAGCAGAAUAGCCAAUAAACACACAUUUGAUGGCUCUAGGAUCCAACUUAUCCCGAUUUUGCAUGGGGACGUGAACGUAGCAGACACAACCAAACACUUUUGGAGGAAUAUGAAGGAGUGAAGGAAGAGAAUGAUAUUGGGAAAGGGUUUGGAUAGGUGUUUGAAAUUGGAGAACAUGUGAUGGCAUGCGAUUGAUAAGAAAAACAGCUGUGUGAAUGACAUCGCCCCAAAAACGUUUAGGAACGUGCAUAGCAGAACAUAAAGAGCGAGCCACAUCCAAGAGAUGACGAUUUUUACGUUCUGCUAUACCGUUCUGUUGAGGAGUAUGUGGACAAGAUGUUUGAUGAAUGAUACCGUGUUGUUGAAAAAAUGUUCCAAGUCCAUAAUUCAAAUAUUCUUUCCCAUUAUCAGAUCGAACGACUUGAAUUUUAGCAUGAAAUUGGGUUUGAAUCAUUUGAUGAAAGAUUGGGAAAAUAGACAUAACCUCACUCUUGUUUUUUAGUAAGUAUACCCAAGAAACUCGAGUGCAGUCAUCAAUGAAAGAAACAAAGUAUUUAGCACCAGUAUAAGUAGGAAUAUGAAAUGGUCCCCAAACAUCAGAAUGAAUAAGAGAGAAAUGAACAUUACUUUUAUGGGAACUUAAAGGAAAUGAGACACGAUGAUUUUUAGAAAGAAUGCAAGUUUCACAAUGGAAAUCAGAAACCUUGACUUUAGAAAAUAAAGAAGGGAAUAGAUAUUGCAGGUACUGAAAGGAAGGGUGUCCCAAUCUUUUGUGCCAUAACCAAAUUUUUUCAGAAGCUUCAAAUUGUUUGGCCUCCACUUGACAACUGUAACUUGUCUUCUCACAAUCUGGUGGUAAGUCCAAGUAGUAUAGACCUCCCCUCUCUCUACCAUGACCAAUCAAUGCUUUCGUUCGAAUAUCCUGAAACCAACAGUGGGUAGGAGAAAAGAUGGCAAGACAGUUUAGUUGAUUUGUAAGUUUACCAAUGGAAAACAAAUUGUGAGAAAGUUUAGGAACAUGUAAAACAGAUGAGAGAGAUAAGCCUGGUGUUAAUGAGAUGGAGCCUGCUCCAAGCACUGGAGUAGAAAUACCAUUAGCAACUUUAACGGUAUUUAAAGGUGGAGUAGUGUGAGAAACAAACCAUGUAGAGUUAUUGGUCAUGUGGUCAGAAGCCCCUGAAUCAAUGAUCCAAGGUUUAUUGGGAGGAACAAUUGUAGUGUUCAAGGCAAAACCAAAGUUACCUGCAUCGACUAAGGAAGUAGAAGCAGUAGUUGGAGAAACUAAGUGAGCAGAUUGAUCCACCCGAGGUAUGGAAGGCGUUGGUGUCAGGUGUGCUUAUGAUCCACCAAUGACUUUCUUUUGAUUUUCCUUCUUUUGAACCCACCAAUCAGGAUAUCCAUGCAGCUUGAAACAAGUGUCUCUAGUAUGCUUAUCCUUGUCACAAUAAGUACACUUCCUUGUAUCAGUAGUUUUGGAUCCACCUAAUCGAGAAUUGGAGACUCCACGGGGAAAUCGAGACAGAUCAGCUACUAUGGCGGAUCCCUCCACUUGUGGGCCAACCAACAUAAUGGUUUGCCUACUUGCUUCAGCAUUCACAAGAGCAUAAGCAGCACGAACAGAAGGCAGAGUUGUUUGAGUCAAAACUUGACUGCGAACAUGAUCUAAAUGAGGGUCAAGACCAGCCAGAAAAUCAUACAAUCUUUCUUCCGAAAUUUCUGUCUCUCGGGUAGCAAUAUCAUUAGCGCACUUCAAUUUUCCAGGACGCAAGAAAUCAAUUUCUUGCCAUAUUUGCUGAAGUUUACCAUAAUAUGCAGAUAAAGGUUCUCCAUUCUGGCGAGUCGCCAGUGCUUGACGGCGAAGUUCGUAUAACUUUGAUGCAUCUUUUUCAAUUGAGUAAGUUUGGGUAACAGCAUCCCAAACAUCUUUUGCAGUAGAGAGUCGGAGAAAAAUGGCCCGUACAUCUCUGGUCAUGGAGUUGAGUAACCAAGAUUGAACCAUGACAUUCUCUUCCUCCCAUAUAGCAUACAAUGCAUCAGCUUCUGCUGGUGCCAUUUUUGUUCCACUGACAUAAGACCAUUUACCUCUGCCAGUGAUGUAGAUGAGGACACUUUGGGACCAUGAGGAAUAGUUGGACCCAUCCAACUUGUCUGGGGUGAUAUGUAGAGACAUAUCACUUUGAGUAACAGUAGCUGAAACAGUGGUCUUGGAGUCACCCAUUAUUACUGCCUCAGAGGUUAUGGGUAAAUUUGUUGGGUGAUUCCAACGGGUAUGGUUUAUGGGGUAUUGGGUAGUAUAUUUUUCCAACGGGUAUGGCUUAUGGGGUAUUGGGUAGUAUAUUUUUUUGUGGAAAGAUUUCUGGGUUUUGCAGAGAUACUGCAAAUGGGAAGAAUAUGGGAAAAGAUGCAGCGGAAUAUGUAUGGUUAACAAGCUGGAUAUGGGUAAUAAUGUUGGUAGAUAUGGCCAAAUGAAAAAAGAGUAAGAUUGGGUUGGUAUGAAAGUAGAAGACCUGCAGAAUAGCAGGUCUUAUUGGGUAGAUGGCAGUAGUGCCAGUAAGUGAAUAAGAAUAGAAACUCUGUUUGGAUCAGAAUGGCUCUGAUACCAUGCCAAAAUAGAGUUAAUUUCUUGAUAUUAGAUGAUUAUUUCUCAUUACAAGAUGAACAUAUAUAUAGGGAAAGAAAGAAGACAUAGGACCUAACUUUGCCUAACUUGCCUAACUUGCCUAACUUACCUAACUUGCCUAAUUUACAUAAAGAAAGUUGACUAGCCUAACUUCACUAGCCAUCCAAUACUCAUGGCUGCUUUUAGUUGACAGUU
This 5202-nucleotide long non-coding RNA is filed under the name Malus domestica (apple). Its description in RNAcentral is "long non-coding RNA (MDOM_LNC002227)". Lineage: Eukaryota; Viridiplantae; Streptophyta; Magnoliopsida; Rosales; Rosaceae. The record is from RNAcentral.